This 352-nucleotide unclassified non-coding RNA is filed under the name soil metagenome. RNAcentral's name for it is "partial contains 5.8S ribosomal RNA, internal transcribed spacer 2, and large subunit ribosomal RNA". The stretch from base 1 to 120 matches the Rfam family "5.8S ribosomal RNA", at positions 35 to 154 of the family's 154-position model. The record is from RNAcentral.
GAUGAAGAACGUAGCGAAAUGCGAUAAGUAAUGUGAAUUGCAGAAUUCAGUGAAUCAUCGAAUCUUUGAACGCACAUUGCGCCCGCCAGUAUUCUGGCGGGCAUGCCUGUUCGAGCGUCAUUACAACCCUCAGGCCCCCGGGCCUGGCGUUGGGGAUCGGCGGAGCCCCCCGUGGGCACACGCCGUCCCCCAAAUACAGUGGCGGUCCCGCCGCAGCUUCCAUCGCGUAGUAGCUAACACCUCGCGACUGGAGAGCGGCGCGGCCACGCCGUAAAACACCCAACUCUUCUGAAGUUGACCUCGGAUCAGGUAGGGAUACCCGCUGAACUUAAGCAUAUCAAUAAGCGGAGGA